GCUGACCGCGCGGGAGAGUGUUCGUGAUUCGUCCCUAGGGACGGGAAACGAACCGCCGAAGGAGCAACCGCCCCGGAAUCUCUCAGGCACAAGGGACCGUGCCGGUCGA
RNAcentral lists this non-coding RNA (109 nucleotides) under Croceicoccus naphthovorans. RNAcentral's name for it is "Glycine sequence". It matches the Rfam family "Glycine riboswitch aptamer". From Rfam's summary of the family: This family represents the bacterial glycine riboswitch. Glycine riboswitches usually consist of two metabolite-binding aptamers domains with similar structures in tandem. The record is from Rfam by way of RNAcentral. Lineage: Bacteria; Pseudomonadati; Pseudomonadota; Alphaproteobacteria; Sphingomonadales; Erythrobacteraceae.